Leptidea sinapis is the source of this 1205-nucleotide long non-coding RNA. RefSeq lists it as uncharacterized. The transcript is spliced from 2 exons. NCBI's taxonomy places the organism in Eukaryota, Metazoa, Arthropoda, Insecta, Lepidoptera, Pieridae. The record is from RefSeq and is a predicted model, not a curated record.
GUAAGAGUGUACGCCAUAUUAAAAAAAAAGUGUACGCCAUAUUUGCUUACUAGGUAUUUGUUUUGACUUGUUAUAUUUUGACCUACGUGUUGGCAUAUAAAUGAAUUAAUAAUAAAAUAAAAUGAACGCUUUGUUUUCCCAAGGAAAGACUGAUUUUAGGGCUUAUAAUAUUUUAUCCGGGAAAAAACGACGCCGAAAACGCAGACGUUUUAAUAGAAAGCUACAGAAAAUAUUAAAUAAAAAAUCAGUUUUAGCCUAUGCCAUUGCUACAUGGACGGAACAUUACAUAUCAGCCUCAGAUUGGCAAAACCAACAUCAAUUGGCAUAUUGUAAAGCAAGAGCAAAAGCUCUUCAAUAUGAAAAGAUAACUUCUACCAACAAUGUAUUAAAUAAGAAUUCAGAUGAUGAAGAGAAUCAUAAUGAUGACAACAUUGAAGUGAGUGCGGAAUUUUUACAAUUUCUUAAAACUAAUGCUAAGUUUAAAGAAGAUGCGAGGAGGGAACGGGAAAUCUUGAAAUCUAAUCUGGAAUCUCAGGCUAAUGACUUAAUAAGAACUGAGCCAGAUAUAAGCGAACCCAUGUCUAUUGAGCAGUGUCAAAAUAUGUAUGGUGAUAAGUGGCAACAGAUUUGUCCAUUGGAGAUGUUAUUGACAAAUCAUUAUGUGAAAAUUUGUGAAAAGUAUAAACCAGCACUUUGGCCAAAUAUACCAUUGAAUUUAUAAAGUAAAUUUAUUGUAUUCGACUUAUUUUUUUACAAAUACAAAUAAGUGCUAGUUGUAAUUUAGAUGAUUUUAUUAAUAUUACUUGUGACUUAUUGUAACUAUUCAUAUUAUUAGGUUACAUAGCAAAUAUUUGAAUCAUGAAACUCAUAUAAAUUGUCUAAAGUGCAAUAAGUAUUCUCUAUUAAAAAGAAAUAUGUUUAUAUUUAGACAUAAUAUAUUUACUGAAGUAUUAAAAUACAUAAUAUUGUAAUUGUAUUUAUAAUCAAAAUUUAUAAAAAAUAGACCUUGAGGGCACAAACUACUGGCUUGUUCUUGUAAUUGUUAAUUUCUUUGAAUAAAUUGUGUGCCUUACAUUAUAUUGUUUCUAGGAACUUUUGAUUACAUUUAUUAUUUCAUGUAUUAUCAAUAAUUGUAAACUAACUUUGAAACUGUUUGGAAUAAUUUGACUAUCUAUUUAAUGUAAUAAAAUUAGAUAUUAUUAUAA